RNAcentral lists this unclassified non-coding RNA (336 nucleotides) under soil metagenome. RNAcentral's name for it is "partial contains 5.8S ribosomal RNA, internal transcribed spacer 2, and large subunit ribosomal RNA". The stretch from base 1 to 120 matches the Rfam family "5.8S ribosomal RNA", at positions 35 to 154 of the family's 154-position model. The record is from RNAcentral.
GAUGAAGAACGCAGUGAAAUGCGAUAAGUAAUGUGAAUUGCAGAAUUCAGUGAAUCAUCGAAUCUUUGAACGCACAUUGCGCCCGCCAGUAUUCUGGCGGGCAUGCCUGUUCGAGCGUCAUUUCAACCAUCAAGCCCCCGGCUUGUGUUGGGGACCUGCGGCUGCCGCAGGCCCUGAAAAGCAGUGGCGGGCUCGCUGUCACACCGAGCGUAGUAGCAUACAUCUCGCUCUGGGCGUGCUGCGGGUCCCGGCCGUUAAACCACCUUCAUAACCCAAGGUUGACCUCGGAUCAGGUAGGAAGACCCGCUGAACUUAAGCAUAUCAAUAAGCGGAGGA